RNAcentral lists this ribosomal RNA (497 nucleotides) under uncultured bacterium. RNAcentral describes it as "partial 16S ribosomal RNA". It matches the Rfam family "Bacterial small subunit ribosomal RNA", at positions 28 to 507 of the family's 1533-position model. The record is from RNAcentral.
GAUGAACGCUGGCGGCGUGCCUAAUACAUGCAAGUCGAGCGAACGGACGAGAAGCUUGCUUCUCUGAUGUUAGCGGCGGACGGGUGAGUAACACGUGGAUAACCUACCUCUAAGACUGGGAUAACUUCGGGAAACCGUAGCUAAUAACGGCUAAUAUUUUGAACCGCAUGGUUCAAAAGUGAAAGACGGUCUUGCUGUCACUUAUAGAUGGAUCCGCGUUGCAUUAGCUAGUUGGUAAGGUAACGGCUUACCAAGGCAACGAUGCAUAGCCGACCUGAGAGGGUGAUCAGCCACACUCGAACUGAGACACGGUCCAGACUCCUACGGGAGGCAGCAGUAGGGAAUCUUCCGCAAUGGGCGAAAGCCUGACGGAGCAACGCCGCGUGAGUGAUGAAGGUCUUCGGAUCGUAAAACUCUGUUAUUAGGGAAGAACAUAUGUGUAAGUAACUGUGCACAUCUUGACGGUACCUAAUCAGAAAGCCACGGCUAACUACGUG